GCUGAUAUGGCUCAGUUGGUAGAGCGCACCCUUGGUAAGGGUGAGGUCCCCAGUUCGACUCUGGGUGUCAGCACCA
This 76-nucleotide transfer RNA is filed under the name Escherichia coli. Its description in RNAcentral is "tRNA-Thr". It matches the Rfam family "tRNA". From Rfam's summary of the family: Transfer RNA (tRNA) molecules are approximately 80 nucleotides in length. The record is from RNAcentral. RNAcentral also lists the same sequence under 1 other name. Lineage: Bacteria; Pseudomonadati; Pseudomonadota; Gammaproteobacteria; Enterobacterales; Enterobacteriaceae.